RNAcentral lists this long non-coding RNA (319 nucleotides) under Malus domestica (apple). Its description in RNAcentral is "long non-coding RNA (MDOM_LNC016304)". The record is from RNAcentral. Lineage: Eukaryota; Viridiplantae; Streptophyta; Magnoliopsida; Rosales; Rosaceae.
AGCAAAAGUUUUAUCUUGGCUAUCUUGAACAUCCUUCAUUUAUUCGUAAAUAUAAUAACACAGAAGUGCAGCAUAAAGUUUUAGAAGCAAAAAGAACAACAGAUCAAGCUUUAGAGACCUUGAGAGAAGAAAGAGAGUUUUUAAGAAACCAGUUAGUUGUAACUCUAGAGAAGAGUAGACUGUAGUUUAUGAUAGAUUAUCUUAAUUUAGAAAUUAGUGAACCUCAAAAAAGAAAAAUAACUUUAGACCAAAAUAGUUUAGUUUGUUAUUUUCCAUCAAGAAAGCAUAAUCAUAUUUUGCAUAGUGAAGAAAAUCCGCA